AAAUUGAAGAGUUUGAUCAUGGCUCAGAUUGAACGCUGGCGGCAGGCCUAACACAUGCAAGUCGAACGGUAACAGGAAGCAGCUUGCUGCUUCGCUGACGAGUGGCGGACGGGUGAGUAAUGUCUGGGAAACUGCCUGAUGGAGGGGGAUAACUACUGGAAACGGUGGCUAAUACCGCAUAACGUCGCAAGACCAAAGAGGGGGACCUUCGGGCCUCUUGCCAUCAGAUGUGCCCAGAUGGGAUUAGCUAGUUGGUGAGGUAACGGCUCACCAAGGCGACGAUCCCUAGCUGGUCUGAGAGGAUGACCAGCCACACUGGAACUGAGACACGGUCCAGACUCCUACGGGAGGCAGCAGUGGGGAAUAUUGCACAAUGGGCGCAAGCCUGAUGCAGCCAUGCC
RNAcentral lists this ribosomal RNA (401 nucleotides) under Salmonella enterica. RNAcentral's name for it is "bacterial SSU rRNA". It matches the Rfam family "Bacterial small subunit ribosomal RNA", at positions 1 to 398 of the family's 1533-position model. RNAcentral also lists the same sequence under 2 other names. The record is from RNAcentral. Lineage: Bacteria; Pseudomonadati; Pseudomonadota; Gammaproteobacteria; Enterobacterales; Enterobacteriaceae.